RNAcentral lists this ribosomal RNA (558 nucleotides) under Triticum aestivum (bread wheat). Its description in RNAcentral is "partial small subunit ribosomal RNA". The record is from RNAcentral. Lineage: Eukaryota; Viridiplantae; Streptophyta; Magnoliopsida; Poales; Poaceae.
AUGACGCCCAUGUGCUUGAGCGACCCGGACAUGACGUCCCCGAUGAUGAUGAGGUACACCACGAGGAUGCCGGCGUUGUUGACGACGAUGCAGAGCUGCGCGACGACGCUGGCGGGGCGGCCGAGCGCGCGGUGCACGAGCUCGCCGUAGGAGAGCGCGCGGCAGCGCACCGCGAACCGGACGAGCAGCUCGAUGGUGACCUCGGAGAGGAGCCCCAUGACGAGGAUGGAGACGAGCCCCACGGCCACGCCGAGCACCUUCAUGGUCGCCGGUAGCGCCAUGAUGCCCGCCCCGAUGAUGGAGGUCGCCAGGUUGAACACCGCGCCGUAGACCCCCGAGCCCUCCGGCGGGCCGGAGGGGCCGUCGUCGCCGAUGAGCGGCAGUGAGUCGUGCUCGCCGGCGUUGGUGGCGGCGUCGUCGUCAUCGACCUCGCCGAGGAACGAGUCCUGCUUGGUGAGCUUGGCGUGGCCGUUGGUGGAGGCGCCAGAUUUGGGAUGCGGCGGCGGCUGGCUUGACUGCAGCUCGAUGGCGGUGGAGGUGAGCGGGAGCGCCGAGUAG